GCGACAACUACACGUUUUACAAGACCAACACCAACAAACAAUAUCAGAAUCAGAAGAAGAAACCAAAGCAAAGCAAAGCAAAACUCUCUAUCUCUUGAAAACAUUCUUGUAAUAACAAAAGGGAUUAAAGUUGAUUGGUGAAGUUGUUGUUGUUCAGUGGAGAAAUGGAAGAAGAUAAUAAGGUGGUUGUUAAUGGCUUCUCUCCGGUAACUUCCACUCCGGUAUUCUGGAAAUCUCGUAAGAGAUCAGGAUAGAGAGAUCGACGGCCUAAACGAGCAAUUGGAAGAGGACUCGCGCGUCCUGGAACAUCUUCAAUUGCAGCUGCUGGACGAAAGAAGUAAACGUGCGGAUGUGGAACGACAAAAUGCUUUGUUGCAGAACCAGGUUGAUAUGUUGAUGAACAUGCUUCAGGAGCCUCCUGAGAACAUAGAAGAGGAUGAACUUCCACAAGUUUACAUCUGUUAUUUAUUUGUUUGUUUGUUUGGCAUAUGGAGAGCUACCAAAAUAUUU
Molecule: long non-coding RNA, 510 nt
Filed under: Helianthus annuus (common sunflower)
Lineage: Eukaryota; Viridiplantae; Streptophyta; Magnoliopsida; Asterales; Asteraceae
Source: RNAcentral